Neopelma chrysocephalum (saffron-crested tyrant-manakin) is the source of this 694-nucleotide long non-coding RNA. RefSeq lists it as uncharacterized. The transcript is spliced from 2 exons. NCBI's taxonomy places the organism in Eukaryota, Metazoa, Chordata, Aves, Passeriformes, Pipridae. The record is from RefSeq and is a predicted model, not a curated record.
CCUCAGGGGUGUGUAGGUUAAAGGGAUCCUCAGGGGUGUGUAGGUUAAGGGGAUCCUCAGGGUGUGUAGGUUAAGGGGAUCCUCAGGGGUGUGUAGGUUAAGGGGAUCCUCAGGGGUGUGUAGGUUAAGGGGAUCCUCAGGGGUGUGUAGGUUAAAGGGAUCCUCAGGGGUGUGUAGGUUAAGGGGAUCCUCAGGGGUGUGUAGGUUAAGGGAAUCCUCAGGGGUGUGUAGGUUAAAGGGAUCCUCAGGGGUGUGUAGCUCUGCUGCUUCCAGUGGGGAUGUGAGGGAAAAGCUUUCUCUUCCUCCAUACCAUUAAGAAGCCAGUAAUGAAGACACUUGUGGAAGCAGCUGAUUAAACCUGUAUCUGAAAUGUGAUGCAGCCAGGAAGAUUGAACUUGCUCUGUUUAAUUGUGUCUGCAGACCCUGACCUGAGUUGAUACAACUUGAGGGAAAGCUGGAUUUCCAUUCAGUCCAAAGAGCACUGAGCACAGUGUAGUGGUUUCAUUAAGUCUGGAUUAUUACUGUAAUCGUGCCAAAAAUUUUGGCUUGGAUGAAAUCAUUCAGCAAAAUAACUUCUUAGUGAUGAGUUCUAGAACACAGUAGAGAAAAUAAAGACUAGCAACCCAAGUGGCUGCUGAUCCGAAGGGAUUAAAUGUUCUCUAACCUUUCAAACUACUUUCUGGUCUUAUUGCUU